Molecule: ribosomal RNA, 492 nt
Filed under: uncultured bacterium
Lineage: Bacteria
Description: partial 16S ribosomal RNA
Rfam family: Bacterial small subunit ribosomal RNA
Source: RNAcentral
AGUGAACGCUGGCGGUAGGCCCAACACAUGCAAGUCGAACGGCAGCACAGUAAGAGCUUGCUCUUACGGGUGGCGAGUGGCGGACGGGUGAGGAAUACAUCGGAAUCUACUUUUUCGUGGGGGAUAACGUAGGGAAACUUACGCUAAUACCGCAUACGACCUACGGGUGAAAGCAGGGGAUCUUCGGACCUUGCGCGAUUGAAUGAGCCGAUGUCGGAUUAGCUAGUUGGCGGGGUAAAGGCCCACCAAGGCGACGAUCCGUAGCUGGUCUGAGUGGAUGAUCACCCACACUGGAACUGCGACACGGUCCAGACUCCUAAGGGAGGGAGCAGUCGGGAAUAUUGGACAAUGCGCGCAAGCCUGAUCCAGCCAUACCGCGUGGGUGAAGAAGGCCUUCGGGUUGUAAAGCCCUUUUGUCGGGGAAGAAAAGCAGCAGGUUAAUACCCCGCUGUUCUGACGGUACCCAAAGAAUAAGCACCGGCUAACUUCGUG